This 72-nucleotide transfer RNA is filed under the name Merismopedia sp. SIO2A8. RNAcentral describes it as "tRNA-Gly". It matches the Rfam family "tRNA". From Rfam's summary of the family: Transfer RNA (tRNA) molecules are approximately 80 nucleotides in length. Their secondary structure includes four short double-helical elements and three loops (D, anti-codon, and T loops). The record is from RNAcentral. Lineage: Bacteria; Bacillati; Cyanobacteriota; Cyanophyceae; Synechococcales; Merismopediaceae.
GCGGAUGUGGUGUAAGUGGGAACAUCAGAGACUGCCAAGCUCUAGUUACGAGUUCGAUCCUCGUCAUCCGCU